This is a long non-coding RNA of Balaenoptera acutorostrata (minke whale), 419 nucleotides long. RefSeq lists it as uncharacterized. Lineage: Eukaryota; Metazoa; Chordata; Mammalia; Artiodactyla; Balaenopteridae. The record is from RefSeq and is a predicted model, not a curated record. The transcript is spliced from 3 exons.
UGACCUUCCUGCGAACUUGCCCCAGCUGGUGAUUGUUCUUAUCAAAGGGGCAGUGAGAGGCGUGAUAAGAGGCAUGCCCCUCUAUUGGUUUCCCUGGUAACUAAUGAGCCCACCUGAUGUCAAUUCCCCUAUAACUGGUAAUUCCCCUCACAGGGAGCGAAGACUGCUGCCAUGUCCUGCCCGUCGUCCACCACACACAGUGGGCUGUCGCUCCAGGACCCUGCUUCAGACGUGCUCUUUCUACAGUCUUGAAGCUGGGCAAGCACAGGCCUUGUAGGCCUGUGGGGUGCAGCCCAAUAACCACCAACAAACACAUCUUAUAGAAAGUAGCAGAGAAAACAGGCUGGUAGGAUUCACUGGAUGGUUACUCUGGAAACCAAUGACCUUAUCCUCUCUCUCCUCCAAUAUUAAGAACAAAG